GACGAACGCUGGCGGCGUGCUUAACACAUGCAAGUCGAACGGAAAGGCCCUGCUUUUGUGGGGUGCUCGAGUGGCGAACGGGUGUGUAACACGUGAGUAACCUGCCCUUGACUUUGGGAUAACUUCAGGGAACUGGGGCUAAUACCGGCUAGGAGCUCCUGCUGCAUGGUGGGGGUUGGAAAGUUUAGGCGGUUGGGGAUGGACUCGGGGCUUAUCAGCUUGUUGGUGGGGGAGUUGCUUACCAAGGCUUUGACGGGUAGCCGGCCUGAGAGGGUGACCGGGCACAUUGGGACUGAGAGACGGCGCAGACUCCUACGGGAGGCAGCAGUGGCGAAUAUUGCACAAUGGGCGGAAGCCUGAUGCAGCAACGCCGCGUGCGGGAUGACGGCCUGCGGGUUGAGAACCGCUUUCGCCUGUGACGAAGCGUGAGUGACGGUAAUGGGUAAAGAAGCACCGGCUAACUACGUG
RNAcentral lists this ribosomal RNA (468 nucleotides) under uncultured bacterium. RNAcentral's name for it is "partial 16S ribosomal RNA". It matches the Rfam family "Bacterial small subunit ribosomal RNA", at positions 28 to 507 of the family's 1533-position model. The record is from RNAcentral.